UAAGCAUAUCACUGAGCGCAGGAGAAGAAACUAACCAGGAUUUCCCUAGUAACGGCGAGCGAACCGGAAAGAGCCCAGCUUGAAAAUCGUGGCGCCCCGGCGCCUCGAAUUGUAGUCUGGAGAAGGUCCCUCUGCGGCGCGCCGGAUUCAAGUUCCCUGGAAUGGGACGUCCGAGAGGGUGAGAACCCCGUCGUAUCCGGAGUGCGUCGCUCCACGAGGACCUGUCUGCGAGUCGGGCUGUUUGGGAAUGCAGCCCUAAGCGGGUGGUAAAUUCCAUCCAAGGCUAAAUAUUGGCAAGAGACCGAUAGCGAACAAGUACCGCGAGGGAAAGAUGAAAAGGACUUUGAAAAGAGAGUUAAAAAGUGCUUGAAAUUGCUGGGAGGGAAGCGAAUGGAAGCUGCGGGUGCGCCCCGGUUGGAUGUGGAACGGCCGUCAGACGCUGGUCCGCCACUCAACGCGGGGCGCUGGUCAGCGUGGGCCAUCGCGGCGGGACAAGAGCGGGGAUUCGCUUCCCGCCGAUGCCGCCGCGGUGGCCGAGGAACGAAGCGCGCGCCUUCCGGUGUGGGACUCGUCCCAACUGCGCGCUCGAGACGCUGGCGUAUUGAGCUCUUCAUCCGACCCGUCUUGAAACACGGACCAAGGAGUCUAACAUGUAUGCGAGCCGGUGGGCGGCAAACCCAUUGAGGCGCAAGUAACCUGACAGGUGGGACCCCGCUUGCGGGAGCACCAUCGACCGACCGUGAUCUUCUGUGAAGGGUUC
Molecule: ribosomal RNA, 760 nt
Filed under: Orthotrichum pulchellum
Lineage: Eukaryota; Viridiplantae; Streptophyta; Bryopsida; Orthotrichales; Orthotrichaceae
Description: partial 26S ribosomal RNA
Rfam family: Eukaryotic large subunit ribosomal RNA
Source: RNAcentral